Molecule: long non-coding RNA, 1028 nt
Organism: Neogale vison (American mink)
Lineage: Eukaryota; Metazoa; Chordata; Mammalia; Carnivora; Mustelidae
Exons: 5
Source: RefSeq, a predicted model, not a curated record
CUGUCCUUGGUUUCCUUUUCGAUAGGCUUAAAAUUAGGAAUGGAGCAAGACACCUGGGUAAUGAUCUCUGAACAAGGCUAGAAACUCUACAAGAUGAUGUGCAAACAAGGGAAUCUGACCAAAGACAGAAAAAGAAAACUGACCACAUUUCCUAAAUGCUUCCUUGGAAGUGAAUUUGUGUCAUGGCUCUUGGAAAUUGGAGAGAUUCACAGGCCUGAGGAAGGUGUACACUUAAGACAAGCAUUAUGAGAAAAUGGAAUCAUCCAUCAUGCAAUGGAGGAACUCUCGCUGCUAAAAGCCACCUGAGUGAGCUCAAAAGCAGAUUCUCCCCCCAACAAGCCUGGAGAUGACUGAAGAUCCAGAUGACAUCGUGACUGCAGCCUUGUGAGGGAUCCUGAGCCACAGGACCACCAUGAAUGGGAAGGGGCCUUCAAAGAAGCAAGAGGAGAACAUCUCUUCCAAGCCUGUCACAUGUCAAUAUCCAAACACUCCAGUCACUUCUACCCCCUUGGCAGUCCCAUGGCUUCCAUCAGGACACAGAUACAUUAAUGGACAGGUUUUGGAGCAAACGUGUCCAAUAUACUGACUCACCUCCCCUACCCCAACUCCUGUCAGCUCCUGCUGCCAUGCUGGUUUGCGUUGGAGACUCAGGUGCACCUCCCCCACCCCUAGUCCCUUCAGCUCCUGUUGCCAAGCACUGGUUUGCAUUGGAGUCGGAACCCUCGGAGGGGUUCCAAGCAGUUACUAGUGUCCCAGAGGACCCUGGUGAUCGGAGGCAAAGCCACAAGGCUCUUUGGAGCCAGCUGGUGGCCAUCCAAAUGUCUCCCCACACAGUUCUGGAGCCGCUGUGGGCUACUGGGUUGCUGAUAUACAAAUGUUUACCCCAUGUGCCACGAGUCUCUGGGUUUUGGUGGGAGAUGCUGGUGUGCACUGUCAUGGUGUUGUUCCUUGUAAGGAGUGGACUCAGCCUAAGAAGAAGAAAGGGGCAGUGUUCCCAGAAUGAAGUAUCUGGAAAAGGCAUGGAGAUG